GACGAACGCUGGCGGCGUGCUUAACACAUGCAAGUCGAACGGAAAGGCAUUGCUUUUGUGGGGUGCUCGAGUGGCGAACGGGUGAGUACCUAGUGAGUAACCUGCCCUUGACUUUGGGAUAACUUCAGGAAACUGGGGCUAAUUCCGGCUAGGAGCUCCUGCUGCACGGUGGGGGUUGGAAAGUUUCGGCGGUUGGGGUUGGUAUCGCGGCUUAUCAGCUUGUUGGUGGGGUAGUGGCUUACCAUGGCUUUGACGGGUCGCAGGACUGAGAGGGUGACCGGCCACAGUGGGCCUGAGGUACGACCAGUACGCCUACGGGAGGCAGCAGUGGAAGACAGUGGACGAUGGGCGGAAGCCUGAUGCAGCAACUCCGCGUGCGGAAGGACGGCCUUCGGGGUGUAAACCUCUUUCUCCGGAGACGUAGCGGAAUUGACGGUAAUGGGAUAAAAAGCACCGGCUAACUACGUG
This 468-nucleotide ribosomal RNA is filed under the name uncultured bacterium. Its description in RNAcentral is "partial 16S ribosomal RNA". It matches the Rfam family "Bacterial small subunit ribosomal RNA", at positions 28 to 507 of the family's 1533-position model. The record is from RNAcentral.